RNAcentral lists this ribosomal RNA (445 nucleotides) under uncultured bacterium. Its description in RNAcentral is "SSU rRNA". It matches the Rfam family "Bacterial small subunit ribosomal RNA", at positions 26 to 518 of the family's 1533-position model. The record is from RNAcentral.
AGAGCGAACGCUGGCGGCAUGCUUAACACAUGCAAGUCGCACGGUCAGCAAUGGCAGUGGCGGACGGGUGAGUAACGCGUAGGAAUCUAUCCAGAGGUGGGGGACAACCGUGGGAAACUACGGCUAAUACCGCAUGUUACCUGAGGGUUAAAGGCGCAAGUCGCCUUUGGAGGAGCCUGCGUCUGAUUAGCUUGUUGGUGGGGUAAAGGCUUACCAAGGCGACGAUCAGUAGCUGGUCUGAGAGGAUGAUCAGCCACAUUGGGACUGAGACACGGCCCAAACUCCUACGGGAGGCAGCAGUGGGGAAUAUUGGACAAUGGGCGCAAGCCUGAUCCAGCAAUGCCGCGUGGGUGAAGAAGGUCUUCGGAUUGUAAAGCCCUUUUGGCGGGGACGAUAAUGACGGUACCCGCAGAAUAAGCCCGGCUAACUUCGUGCCAGCAGCCGC